Paramuricea clavata is the source of this 148-nucleotide non-coding RNA. The record is from the annotation of a GenBank genome assembly. Lineage: Eukaryota; Metazoa; Cnidaria; Anthozoa; Malacalcyonacea; Plexauridae.
AUAUUUCGGAACUGAGUCUAGUUCCUUCGAUAUCAGUGUAAUCUAAUAAUCAUGAUAUUUGUCGUGUUGGUGUAGUACACUACACGACAAAUAUCAUGAUUAUUAGAUCACACUGAUAUCGAAGGAACUAGACUCAGUUCCGAAAUAU